AUGGGAAUGGGAAAUGGGAAAGGGGAAAUGGGAAUGGAAUUGGGGAAAAGGGAAAUGGGAAUGGGAAAGGGGAAAUGGGAAUGGGAAAGGGAAAUGGAAUUGGGGAAAAGGGAAAUGGGAAUGGGGAAAUGGGAAUGGGGAAAAGGGAAAUGGGAAAUGGGAAAGGGGAAAAGGGAAAUGGAAUUGGGGAAAAGGGAAAUGGGGUGGGGAAAGGGGAAACAGGGAAAAUGGGAUUGGGAAAAGGGAAAUGGGAUUGGGAAAAUGGGAAUGGGCAAAUGGGAAUGGAAUUGGGGAAAAGGGAAAUGGGAAAUGGGAAUGGGGAAAUGGGAUUGGGAAAAGGGAAAUGGGAUUGGGAAAAAGGGAAUGGAGUGGGAAAAGGUAAAAUGGGGUGGAAAAGUGGAAAUGGGAAACGGAAAAUGGGGUGGGAAAGGGGAAAUGGAAUUGGGGAAAAGGGAAUGGGGCAGGGAAAGGGAAAAGGGGACAGGAAAAGGGGAAAGGGGACACGGGAACAAGCCGGGGUGGGGGGUCUCAAGCUCCAGGAAUUUAGGAUUGCUGCUUCCCGACCCGGUUUGGGCUUGGAACCUCACCCGGCACCGAGGGGCACGGCAGGGACAGGGCGGGGUGAGGGGGACAGGUGACAGCCACGGUGACAUUUCCCGGGACAGCCGGGAUUGCCCCCCCAGGAACCCGAAACGUGCGGGGGGGAAACGCCAAGGGACAAAAAAUCGGAAUCCAGGGGGGAAGAAAAACCCCAAAACCCCUUUGGAGACUCCUUGUGGGGUCUCUAAAUGUCCCCCCAGAGCCACCAGGCUGGGGGACACAGGGGAGGGGACAGGGAGCGGCUGCUGAGGUUCCAAGAGGAAAAAGGGCCCCCAGCCCCUUUCCGUGUCCCAGCCCCGGCUGCAGCUAAUCCUAAAUUCUGGGAAUUUCGGGGAGCGGAAGCCUGGGGCAAGGGACGGUCCCUGCGGUCACUCGGGACGGUCCCUGCGGUCACUCACAGUUUGUCCCUGCAAGCAGCAGAGCGGGCAGGGAGGGAAAACAACAGCGGUUAAUGCGCGA
RNAcentral lists this long non-coding RNA (1059 nucleotides) under Cyanistes caeruleus (blue tit). RNAcentral describes it as "lncRNA (ENSCCEG00000009078.1)". Lineage: Eukaryota; Metazoa; Chordata; Aves; Passeriformes; Paridae. The record is from RNAcentral.